RNAcentral lists this microRNA precursor (91 nucleotides) under Monodelphis domestica (gray short-tailed opossum). RNAcentral describes it as "mir-191 microRNA precursor family". It matches the Rfam family "mir-191 microRNA precursor family". The record is from Rfam by way of RNAcentral. Lineage: Eukaryota; Metazoa; Chordata; Mammalia; Didelphimorphia; Didelphidae. RNAcentral also lists the same sequence under 1 other name.
GGCAGGAGAGCAGGGAACGAAAUCCAAUUGCAGCUGGAAUGCUCUGGAGACAACAGCUGCUUUUGGGAUUCCGUUGCCCGCUGUCAAGCUG